AUUGAACGCUGGCGGCAGGCCUAACACAUGCAAGUCGAACGGUAACAGGAAGAAGCUUGCUUCUUUGCUGACGAGUGGCGGACGGGUGAGUAAUGUCUGGGAAACUGCCUGAUGGAGGGGGAUAACUACUGGAAACGGUAGCUAAUACCGCAUAACGUCUCAAAACCAAAGAGGGGGACCUUCUGGCCUCUUGCCAUCGGAUGUGCCCAGAUGGGAUUAGCUAGUAGGUGGGGUAACGGCUCACCUAGGCGACGAUCCCUAGCUGGUCUGAGAGGAUGACCAGCCACACUGGAACUGAGACACGGUCCAGACUCCUACGGGAGGCAGCAGUGGGGAAUAUUGCACAAUGGGCGCAAGCCUGAUGCAGCCAUGCCGCGUGUAUGAAGAAGGCCUUCGGGUUGUAAAGUACUUUCAGCGGGGAGGAAGGGAGUAAAGUUAAUACCUUUGCUCAUUGACGUUACCCGCAGAAGAAGCACCGGCUAACUCCGUG
RNAcentral lists this ribosomal RNA (490 nucleotides) under uncultured bacterium. Its description in RNAcentral is "partial 16S ribosomal RNA". It matches the Rfam family "Bacterial small subunit ribosomal RNA", at positions 30 to 507 of the family's 1533-position model. The record is from RNAcentral.